GAUGAACGCUGGCGGCGUGCCUAAUACAUGCAAGUCGAGCGAACAGAUAAGGAGCUUGCUCCUUUGACGUUAGCGGCGGACGGGUGAGUAACACGUGGAUAACCUACCUAUAAGACUGGGAUAACUUCGGGAAACCGGCGCUAAUACCGGAUAACAUAUUGAACCGCAUGGUUCAAUAGUGAAAGGCGGCUUUGCUGUCACUUAUAGAUGGAUCCGCGCCGUAUUAGCUAGUUGGUAAGGUAACGGCUUACCAAGGCAACGAUACGUAGCCGACCUGAGAGGGUGAUCGGCCACACUGGAACUGGGACACGGUCCAGACUCCUACGGGAGGCAGCAGUAGGGAAUCUGCCGCAAUGGGCGAAAGCCUGACGGAGCAACGCCGCGUGAGUGAUGAAGGCCUUCGGAGCGUAAAACUCUGUUAUCAGGGAAGAACAAAUGUGUAAGUAACUGUGCACAUCGUGACGGUACCUGAUCAGAAAGCCACGGCUAACUACGUG
RNAcentral lists this ribosomal RNA (497 nucleotides) under uncultured bacterium. RNAcentral's name for it is "partial 16S ribosomal RNA". It matches the Rfam family "Bacterial small subunit ribosomal RNA", at positions 28 to 507 of the family's 1533-position model. The record is from RNAcentral.